RNAcentral lists this ribosomal RNA (27 nucleotides) under Diploschistes diacapsis. RNAcentral's name for it is "partial 28S ribosomal RNA". The record is from RNAcentral. Lineage: Eukaryota; Fungi; Ascomycota; Lecanoromycetes; Ostropales; Graphidaceae.
AUCACGACAGGGAUACCCGCUGAACUU